GCCACUGGAAACGGUGAGUAAUACCCUAUGUGCCCUUCGGGGGAAAGAUUUAUCGCCUUUGGAUCGGCCCGCGUUAGAUUAGAUAGUUGGUGGGGUAACGGCCUACCAAGUCUACGAUCUAUAGCUGGUUUUAGAGGAUGAUCAGCAACACUGGGACUGAGACACGGCCCAGACUCCUACGGGAGGCAGCAGUGGGGAAUCUUGGACAAUGGGGGCAACCCUGAUCCAGCCAUGCCGCGUGAGUGAUGAAGGCCUUAGGGUCGUAAAGCUCUUUCGCCUGUGAAGAUAAUGACUGUAGCAGGUAAAGAAACCCCGGCUAACUCCGUGCCAGCAGCCGCGGUAAUACGGAGGGGGUUAGCGUUGUUCGGAAUUACUGGGCGUAAAGCGCGCGUAGGCGGACUGGAAAGUUGGGGGUGAAAUCCCAGGGCUCAACCCUGGAACUGCCUCCAAAACUAUCAGUCUAGAGUUCGAGAGAGGUGAGUGGAAUUCCGAGUGUAGGGGUGAAAUUCGUAGAUAUUCGGAGGAACACCAGUG
This 534-nucleotide ribosomal RNA is filed under the name uncultured bacterium. RNAcentral describes it as "bacterial SSU rRNA". It matches the Rfam family "Bacterial small subunit ribosomal RNA", at positions 146 to 714 of the family's 1533-position model. The record is from RNAcentral.